Molecule: non-coding RNA, 386 nt
Organism: Bactrocera oleae (olive fruit fly)
Lineage: Eukaryota; Metazoa; Arthropoda; Insecta; Diptera; Tephritidae
Source: RefSeq, a predicted model, not a curated record
AAUUUAUUAACAACUUUUAGUCAAACGGACGGACAAGUUUUUUUGAAGGAAACAAACAAGUUAUUUCGGAUCAACAGCAAUAUGCCACGCAAGUGCAUCAGAAGUUGCAAAGGCUCGUUACGACUUCAUAAAUUUCCGGGAGUGCGGGAAAUGCCCAGGUGAGUAAAGUAUUUCAUUUUAUAUGUUUAUUUAAUAUAUACUAGCUUUUACCGGUUACGUGGUCUCGGUGUGAAAGCGUAACAAACACACUUACAUUCACAUUUAUAUUAUAAUAUUAGUAUGGAACUAUGGAUAUGGAUAUGUAUAUUUCGAUCCCCGUAUUCCGGGUUUAUAAUAAAUCAUGUAAAAGUGUUUAAGUGGAAAAUAGGAAAUUUUCGAUUUGUAUU